CACAUACACACAUACACAUACCCACCCACACAAUUUUGCCAUUUUAAAUUUGUAUAGCAGAUGCUUGCAAGUUUUGAGAACAAAUCUUCACAUAUCUUAUUUGCUCUCAGUGCAUUUUGCUGAUCUGGAUAGCUAGGACCCAUCCUAUAAAAGUCUUAACUAUUUCUACCCCCACAGACCAGUACACGCCCUAUUGAUCUCUGCAAGGAAAACUGUCCUGGACUGACACAUCAGCUUCAGAGAGCACCUUUUUUAGCCUUUCUGGAGAGGUUACAAGAUUCUUUCCACAUGAUUGUAGUGUAGCUGGAGGAUAGGGAAGCCUAUUAGAAACCCCUGUUGAGUCAGAGUCUGGUGAGGUGUGAGAAGAAACAAAGGAAUCUGCCUUCAACUGGUUUUUCAAAGCUGGAGAAAUCCUGGGAGGAGAAGAAAAAAGGAGAGGUAAAUGCAUGCUGGGAAACAAAGAUGAGAAGAUUGAGUCCUGGGAAAGGGAAGUCAAGUGUAAGGUCCAAUAUAAAGACACUGGAAUCAUAGAACCCAGCAUGUGAUUUUCCACCAUCAAUCAAGGAAUUGGAGAGAAAAAUGAGAGAAAGAUGGACCACCUUCUCAUUGACUAUUCAUCAAUUAGAGAUGUCUUCAGAUGUGUAGAGGAGGGAUGAAUAGUUCCAAAGUUGUAUUAAUUGAUCCUUAUGGUGAGAUUUCUUGGUCUUUGAUCACCGAGAAAGAUUAUUGAUCAAUUAAUUUAUUGACCAUUGAUUGCCUAAUCAAUAAAUUUAUUUUCUUGUCCCUAAAGUCA
This 793-nucleotide long non-coding RNA is filed under the name Monodelphis domestica (gray short-tailed opossum). RNAcentral describes it as "lncRNA (ENSMODG00000032790.2)". Lineage: Eukaryota; Metazoa; Chordata; Mammalia; Didelphimorphia; Didelphidae. The record is from RNAcentral.